This 466-nucleotide ribosomal RNA is filed under the name uncultured bacterium. RNAcentral's name for it is "partial 16S ribosomal RNA". It matches the Rfam family "Bacterial small subunit ribosomal RNA", at positions 28 to 507 of the family's 1533-position model. The record is from RNAcentral.
GAUGAACGCUGGCGGCGUGCUUAACACAUGCAAGUCGAACGAUGAAGCCCUGCUUGCUGGAUGUAUUCGUGGCGAACGGGUGAGUAACACGUGAGUAUCCUGCCCUUAACUCUGUGAUAAGCCUUGGAAACUCGGUCUAUUACAGCAUAGGAGCGUCCACCGCACGGUGGGUGUUGGAAAGAUUUAUCGGUUUUGGAUGGACUCGCGGCCUAUCAGCUUGUUGGUGGGGUAAUGGCUCACCAAGGCGACGACGGGUAGCCGGCCUGAGAGGGUGACCGGCCACACUGGGACUGAGACACGGCCCAGACUCCUACGGGAGGCAGCAGUGGGGAAUAUUGCACAAUGGGCGGAAGCCUGAUGCAGCGACGCCGCGUGAGGGAUGACGGCCUUCGGGUUGUAAACCGCUUUCAGUAGGGAAGAAGCGAAAGUGACGGUACCGGCAGAAGAAGCACCGGCUAACUACGUG